CGCACAAGUGUCCUAGCGCUUGGCUGCUUUGUCCUUUAAUACAACAAGCAUCAAGCGGCGUCUGCUCAGUCGUCGAUGGCUGCUACAAGCGAACUGUUUAAGCAUUGCGCUCGCACAUUCUGACCAAAAGUCUACUCAAAGUAGGCUCGCGCGCGCUUCGCUUAUCAAAAAACAGACGAACGUGAAAGUUAUCUUUAGACAAACAUACAAACAAUGUUUCACUCAAAUGCGUUGCAAUUAAAUAUUGAAUACGUUAUGAAUCGCAUUUGAUCAACAUAUUUGUGCAAGUGAAUUAAAACGCCAGCAAAUAUUUUUGCAUUUCAAAAAUAUAACCACACAGGCUGCUAAAAUGUAUGGCUUUGUUAACUACGCUUUGGAGUUGCUGGUGCUUAAAUAUUUCGACGAGGAAAUAUGGGAGAAGAUCAAAAAAAAGGCCAUGGUCAGCAUGGAGGGACAAUUUCUGGUGCGUCAAAUUUACGAUGACGAAAUAACAUACAAUCUAAUUGGAGCAGCUGUUGAGAUACUCAAGAUACCUGCCGAUGACAUAUUGGAACUGUUUGGCAAGACAUUCUUUGAGUUCUGUCAGGAUUCGGGCUAUGAUAAAAUACUUCAAGUGCUGGGCGCAACGCCGCGUGACUUUCUACAGAAUCUGGACGCACUGCAUGACCAUUUGGGCACCCUUUAUCCGGGCAUGCGAGCGCCCUCGUUUCGUUGCACGGAAAAGGAUGGCGAACUGCUGCUGCAUUAUUACUCGGAACGGCCCGGGCUGGAGCACAUUGUCAUCGGCAUAGUCAAGGCCGUUGCAUCGAAGCUGCACGGUGUCGAGGUGGAAAUUGACAUCGUGAAGCGCAAAGGUGAGCCCAUCGAUGCGACCGAGAAGGAACGCGCCCUGGCACGCGAACAGCAACAAUUGGAAACUGAGACGACGGCUGGCGGAUCGGAUGCCACAGCAAGUGAUGCGGCUGCUGCUGCUGGAGCGACUGCACCAGUUCAAGUUGCAGGCACUGCCGAGCACAAUAACAAUCACAAUGCCAACAACAACAAUGGCAUCAACAACAGCAGCAACAACAUCAACAACAACAACGAUGGUCAGCAAAUUGCCAGCGAGCCGGCUGGCGAGCAGUUGCCGGCCACAUCGAAGGCCACAGGCGGCGCGCCAUGUGGGCCACUUGUGCAGGAUAGCUUCGACUGCGACGGCGACAAGGAGCAGAAGUGCCUGCGCCUGCUGAAGAACAAGAGCGAUGACAUCGAACGCUAUGACCAUGUACAGUUUCUGAUACGUGAAAUCAAUGUGGCCGCCAAAUCGCAAGUGGAUGCCAAGAAGGAUGACCCGGCAGCCAGCGAUGAUAUGGAGUUUCUCUGUGAAGCUCCACUCAUCUCGCCAGCGACUUUCUGUAAGGUGUUCCCCUUCCACCUGAUGUUCGAUAGACAAAUGAAAAUCGUACAGGCCGGCAAAGCCGUAUCCCGCGUUAUACCCAGAGUGGCCGAGGAGAACUGUUCGCUGAUAGAGGUGGUGGAGGCCAUUAGACCACACCUGCAGCUCACAUUUGAAAACAUUUUGUCGCACAUAAACACCAUCUAUGUGCUCCAGACGAGGCAGGGCGCCAUGAGUAGCCGGCUCGAGCAGCGCUUUCUGAGACUGAAGGGCCAAAUGAUGUAUAUACCAGAAACAGAUCGCAUAUUGUUUCAGUGCUAUCCGAGCGUCAUGAAUUUGGAUGAUCUAACCAAGAAGGGACUCUACAUUUCGGAUGUGCCGCUGCACGAUGCGGCCAGAGAUUUGGUGCUGCUUUCUGAGAAAUUCGAGGCGGAAUACAAGCUGACCAAAAAUCUGGAAAUGCUGACGGAUAAGCUACAGCAAACGUUUCGCGAUCUGGAGAGUGAGAAGCAGAAAACGGACAGGCUGCUCUACUCGGUGCUGCCCAAAUCUGUGGCAAAUGAGCUACGACAUCAGCGUCCAGUGCCUCCGAAACGCUAUGACUCCGUAACGCUGAUGUUCUCUGGCAUUGUGGGCUUCGGGCAAUAUUGUGCAGCCAACACGGAUCCCGAGGGUGCCAUGAAAAUUGUAAAAAUGCUUAACGAGCUCUACACCGUCUUUGAUGCGCUCACCGACUCCAAGCGCAACCUGAAUGUCUACAAAGUGGAAACUGUGGGCGAUAAGUAUAUGGCCGUCUCGGGUCUGCCAGAUCAUUGUGAGGAUCACGCCAAGUGCAUGGCGCGCGUCGCUUUGGAUAUGAUGGAUAUGGCUAAGAAUGUCAAAAUGGGCUCCAAUCCGGUGCAAAUCACCAUUGGCAUCCAUUCGGGCGAGGUGGUCACCGGCGUCAUCGGGAAUCGUGUGCCCCGCUAUUGCCUCUUUGGCAACACCGUCAACCUGACGAGUCGCACCGAAACCACCGGCGUGCCCGGUCGCAUAAACAUUAGCGAGGAGACCUAUCGGCUGCUGUGCCAGGAGAUCAACGAGGAUGAUUCAUUUAAUCUGGAGUACCGCGGCCCGGUCAUCAUGAAAGGCAAGCCGACGCCGAUGGACUGCUGGUUCCUGACACGUGCCACCAGCGCACUAAAUGCCAGCAGCAGCGGCAAUGGCAGCCUCGACUCGCCGCAGCUGCAGCCCACAACGCCAACGGCCACAACGCAACGGCUGGUCAUGGGCAUGGGACAUGCCAGUGUCUCACGUACAUCCUCGGCGAGCGGCAGUACCGGCGGUGGUGGUGGCGGCGGUGGCGGUGGCAGUGGUGGGGGAGCAGCCGCAACGGGUCCUGUGGCGCCCUCAGAUGCAUAGGAUAUGCAAAAGGAUGCAAAUAUACUGUAAAUCUACGUGCAACUCCUUGACUUCAGCAGCCAAGCGACUAUCUAACUGAUUGCGUGUGUGUGUGUGUGUGUGUGUGUGACUUGGCCACUUAACCACUUCAUUUCAAUGUAUUUGUGCUGUCUUGGCUCGCAUCCUUGUCUGCAUCUGCGUGUGUAAGGGCGUGUGUGUGUGUGUGUGUGACUGCUGCUGCUGCUGCCACAUUGCGGCCGAAGAAGUUGGCAUCAGGCAUCGCUGGAUCGUUGUGCAAGGAAUCGGAAAUUCAAGGGAAUCCAAGCUAAAUAUAACUACUCGUACGUUGUAAUUAGUAAUUAAUGAAAAAUAAAUAUAUAUAAUAUAUAUGUGUGUGUGUGUGUGUGUGUGCAUGUUUCAACUGUAUAAAAAUGAGAAAUGAUUUAAAUAUUUGUAUUCGUCGAGGCUUCUUGAGUGUGUAUAAAACGAGAUGCGAUUUAAUAUUUAUUUUUCUACUUUGUGAU
Molecule: unclassified non-coding RNA, 3279 nt
Filed under: Drosophila virilis
Lineage: Eukaryota; Metazoa; Arthropoda; Insecta; Diptera; Drosophilidae
Description: GJ10506
Source: RNAcentral